UGCUACCAUUUUUACUUCUUGCUUGUUUCAAUCAGGCAUAUUAGGUUUUGUACUAAUCUGCUAGGGUUUUGCUUCACCUACGAAGCAAUUUCCUUCUUCUCUGUUUUGGUUGGGGUUGGGUGGGGUUAAGUUUGGUUAAACAAUUCCCCUUUUGGAUUAGAGGGGACAUAGGAUAAGUAGCAGCUUCUAUAACUGUUGUUAUGCAAAAAAAAAUUAAUCCUAUACCAGCAGUAAUACACUAAUACUACUAUACUCUGCUUUGUACUUCUAUAAUACAUAAGAAUACAUAUAAUCAAGUAUAAACAUAAUCCGCCUAAUUUUCUCAUGGCAGCUUGAAUCAACAUGAAUUGAGGGGUGUGAGGCAAUCAUAAUAUGAUGGGAAGUAAACUCAGGGAAACAUGUACACAACACAUUAGCAAAGCUAGAAUGCAACAAAUGAUGAAGUUUAGAGCUUUAGUGUUUUUUACACUAGUUUCUGAAUCUGAUUGUACAUGCAUACCUUUCUUGAAGGCCCAGAGCCUGUUUUGGCUGGAGGAUUUUUCAACUGCCACAAAGAAUAAUGAAGUAAGUUGGAGAAACACGAUUCAUGAGCUAACAACAAAAAUAUACUAGAAAGUAAAAAAAAUAGUGGCAAGCUCAAAAAGCAGAAUCUGUGGAUGUAGUUAAAUAUUCUGCAAUGAUAACAAGCCAAAUAUACUUUCCAAAUUAUGCAAAGGGGCUCACGGCAAGUGGCAAUAACUUUCUGCAAUUGUUCCUUCUUUCUGUCAAGUUAUUUCAAUUGUCUUAUGCAAUGAUUCUGCAAUUAUUCUGCAAUUGUUUCUGCAAGUGGCAUAUAUGUGGAUGUAGUUAAAUAUUCUGCAAUGAUAACAAGCCAAAUAUAACUUUCUGCAAAGGGGCUCAUGAGAAAUUGUCUUAACUUUCUGUCAAGUUCAAUUCACCUAUUCCUCAUCAAUUUCACCAUAUAUGUCAAUCAUUGUCAUAACUUACAACUACUUAGUUAUUUUAGGUAUUGUGCCUUCUUUGUUGUUUGAAUCUAAAUAAUAUACCCUUAAAGUACUGAAAGCUAUUACAAAGUUUUAAAUUACAUAGACAUCCGAAAUUUUCAUAGGAAAAUGUUUGAAUCUAAAUAAUGUACCCUUAAGGUACAGAAAAAGAGCAGGACCAGCUAUACUAUUACAUAGUUCUAAAUUUCAUAGACAUCUGAAAUCAGUGUAGAAGCCGGCUCAACUCCUUAAGCCAUGGGAUGAUCCUGUCAUUGGUGUCACACAGUCGAUGUAAGUUGUUUACAUGCAUGCUGGACUAAUUCAUGAUCAACCCUAUUACACGAUCUAUUCUCUAUUACAGUGGACAAACUCCACCUCUUUAAGCUUAAUGCCAAGCAGUUCAGCCUCGGUUAAACCAAUUGUCUUUUUUAUUUUAGAGCUUAGUUCACUGAUAAUUGUUUUGUUUUUUCUCUGAAAAAUUAGAGAAAUUAAUAACUUAUUUUCCUGUUCCUACAACUUAAUAAAGUCUCAUUACAAGUCAUGUUUUUAAGCAGGCUAUGCGUUCUUUCUCCGAGAAAGGUAAUCCUUCUUUUAUCAAUUUGAAGAAAACCAUUUGUAUUAUGAUUUUUCUAUCCUAAUUCCUAGAAACUGAAUUCUGAAUUUUCUAUUUCUUGUAAUGUUCAUUUCAGAUAUUCUUUCUCUAAUUGCUAAACUUGUACUAAGGGGUGUUGAACAAAAAGAUUUUUGUCGGAGGCGUUGCUUGGGAGACAACUGAAGAUUUAUAUGAGCCAGCAACUUAAUGAUUGCACCAGCUGAAGUUGGUGCAUAAGGCUGCAACACCAUCUAGUGGAGGGUGUUCUGGACAAAGAAAGCUUGUACCUUAAAACAGGAGGAUACAAGAAGCUGGAGUGGUUGUCUGAAGGCUUUUGAACUGCUUGAAGCAUUAGUGUAGCUUUGGUGCUUUUGUGACUGAUCAGCUCUGGAGCAGCUAGAGUGAUAUAGUUGUGGGCUUUUGAACAAUAGUUGGAGUGAUAUGAAACAUUAGUGAUCUAGUUGUGAAUGAUAUUAUAAUUGUGAUGCUUUUGUGAAUAUAUAAUUGUGGUGCUUUUGUGUUUAUGUGAUGGAUCUAUGACUGUGGUAUACUGAUUAACUGUGUAUGUCUUUAUGAUUUGUGUAUAAAAAUCAGUGAUUUGUGGUGC
This is a long non-coding RNA of Zea mays, 2182 nucleotides long. RefSeq lists it as uncharacterized. NCBI's taxonomy places the organism in Eukaryota, Viridiplantae, Streptophyta, Magnoliopsida, Poales, Poaceae. The transcript has 4 exons. The record is from RefSeq and is a predicted model, not a curated record.